ACGGGGGCCCGCACAAGCGGUGGAGCAUGUGGUUAAUUCGAAGCAACGCGAAGAACCUUACCAGGUCUUGACAUCCCGAUGCUAUUUCUAGAGAUAGAAAGUUACUUCGGUACAUCGGUGACAGGUGGUGCAUGGUUGACGUCAGCUCGUGUCGUGAGAUGUUGGGUUAAGUCCCGCAACGAGCGCAACCCCUAUUGUUAGUUGCCAUCAUUCAGUUGGGCACUCUAGCGAGACUGCCGGUAAUAAACCGGAGGAAGUGGGGAUGACGUCAAAUCAUCAUGCCCCUUAUGACCUGGGCUACACACGUGCUACAAUGGUUGGUACAACGAGUUGCGAGUCGGUGACGGCGAGCUAAUCUCUUAAAGCCAAUCUCAGUUCGGAUUGUAGGCUGCAACUCGCCUACAUGAAGUCGGAAUCGCUAGUAAUCGCGGAUCAGCACGCCGCGGUCGAAUACGUUCCCGGGCCUU
Molecule: ribosomal RNA, 467 nt
Filed under: uncultured Streptococcus sp.
Lineage: Bacteria; Bacillati; Bacillota; Bacilli; Lactobacillales; Streptococcaceae
Description: bacterial SSU rRNA
Rfam family: Bacterial small subunit ribosomal RNA
Source: RNAcentral